This 497-nucleotide ribosomal RNA is filed under the name uncultured bacterium. RNAcentral's name for it is "partial 16S ribosomal RNA". It matches the Rfam family "Bacterial small subunit ribosomal RNA", at positions 28 to 507 of the family's 1533-position model. The record is from RNAcentral.
GACGAACGCUGGCGGCGUGCCUAAUACAUGCCAGUAGAACGCUGAAGAGAGGAGCUUGCUCUUCUUGGAUGAGUUGCGAACGGGUGAGUAACGCGUAGGUAACCUGCCUUGUAGCGGGGGAUAACUAUUGGAAACGAUAGCUAAUACCGCAUAACAAUGGAUGACACAUGUCAUUUAUUUGAAAGGGGCAAUUGCUCCACUACAAGAUGGACCUGCGUUGUAUUAGCUAGUAGGUGAGGUAAUGGCUCACCUAGGCGACGAUACAUAGCCGACCUGAGAGGGUGAUCGGCCACACUGGGACUGAGACACGGCCCAGACUCCUACGGGAGGCAGCAGGAGGGAAUCUUCGGCAAUGGGGGCAACCCUGACCGAGCAACGCCGCGUGAGUGAAGAAGGUUUUCGGAUCGUAAAGCUCUGGUGUAAGUCAAGAACGGGUGUGAGAGUGGAAAGUUCACACUGUGACGGUAGCUUACCAGAAAGGGACGGCUAACUACGUG